GACGAACGCUGGCGGCGUGCUUAACACAUGCAAGUCGAACGGAAAGGCCCUGCUUUUGUGGGGUGCUCGAGUGGCGAACGGGUGAGUAACACGUGAGUAACCUGCCCUUGACUUUGGGAUAACUUCAGGAAACUGGGGCUAAUACCGGAUAGGAGCUCCUGCUGCAUGGUGGGGGUUGGAAAGUUUCGGCGGGUGGGGAUGGACUCGCGGCUUAUCAGCUUGUUGGUGGGGUAGUGGCUUACCAAGGCUUUGACGGGUAGCCGGCCUGAGAGGGUGACCGGCCACAUUGGGACUGAGAUAAGGCCGAGACUCCUACGGGAGGCAGCAGUGGGGAAUAUUGCACAAUGGGCGGAAGCCUGAUGCAGCAACGCCGCGUGCGGGAUGACGGCCUUCGGGUUGUAAACCGCUUUCGCCUGUGACGAAGCGUGAGUGACGGUAAUGGGUAAAGAAGCACCGGCUAACUACGUG
This 468-nucleotide ribosomal RNA is filed under the name uncultured bacterium. RNAcentral describes it as "partial 16S ribosomal RNA". It matches the Rfam family "Bacterial small subunit ribosomal RNA", at positions 28 to 507 of the family's 1533-position model. The record is from RNAcentral.